Molecule: ribosomal RNA, 253 nt
Filed under: uncultured bacterium
Lineage: Bacteria
Description: partial 16S ribosomal RNA
Rfam family: Bacterial small subunit ribosomal RNA
Source: RNAcentral
GACAGAGGGUGCAAACGUUGUUCGGAAUUACUGGGCGUAAAGCGCGUGUAGGCUGCUUGGAAAGUCGGAUGUGAAAGCCCUGGGCUCAACCUAGGAAGUGCAUUCGAAACUUCUGAGCUGGAGUUCUGGAGAGGAAGGCGGAAUUCCAGGUGUAGCGGUGAAAUGCGUAGAUAUCUGGAGGAACACCGGUGGCGAAGGCGGCAUCCUGGACCGGUAUUGACGCUGAUGCGCGAAAGCCAGGGGAGCAAACGGG